Molecule: long non-coding RNA, 1524 nt
Organism: Cydia pomonella (codling moth)
Lineage: Eukaryota; Metazoa; Arthropoda; Insecta; Lepidoptera; Tortricidae
Exons: 2
Source: RefSeq, a predicted model, not a curated record
AUAGUCGGCAGUUCCAAACGAUGUCGAUUUUGCCUUUUCUCACAUGUAUUAUAUACAGUUAUAUAUAUAAAUGAAUGAAAACUCGUGCCUUUCACUCUCAUAGAGACUGCUCUUAUUACUGAGAUUUGUAUUUUUACCUUUAGCCAGUAUUUUAGAAUACGCUUUUCCCGAUUUUAUAAUAAGGUUUUUUUAAACUAUUAUAUUCAGACUAAGGCUACAUCGCAUGUCAUAACUAAGUGGGGUAAAUGAGGUUCUUAAAUCUUUGGCUGCUUGGUCAAAUUUUGAGUGUUACUUUCGGCUGACUCUGUGCUGUUUUUUGCCAGGUGGUUGCUAUACGAAGCGUCAGCAUUAAUAUUCUAUUUGGUCUCAUAAGUGAAUAUCGUUUUUGAAUAAACAGCACGAUGGUGGCGGCCCCGCGCUGGCGGGUAGCCUAUUAACGGGUGUCAUCAGCUUCGGUUCUCCACACUGCGGCCGCGUCGAUGCGCCCACAGUCUUCACGCGAAUCGGUCUUUACGCAGACUGGAUUGAUAGCGUCUUGGAUAGCGUUGCGAUUGCCGACGGUAAGCUAGCUAAUCCACACACAUUUCAAACUCCUGGGUCUAUCGAUAUCGGAGUUCCAAGUGAAGAACUUGAUAAGAUGGAAUUAGAACUAGAAAAUCCUCGAGAAGUAUUACAAAGAGAAUUCGGAUUGAAAGAUAUACUUAAUGGGCCUAUAGAUAAACUUACAAAUGGGACAAUUAAGCCCUCGGUUAGAGUAAAUGACCAUUUAGAAAAUCCAGAGCAUAUUUCUGAUGCGAUCCGCAGUAAAAUUACUGAUGUGGUGCACUCUGACGUAGAUCAGAUCAACUUUUCUGAUGAGCCUGAAGAACGCUCAACUAUAAUACCGGAGCAACCGGCACUGUUCGAAGAAAAUGAUACAGUAGAAGAUGCACAUGAUGAAAGUGAUUCUUUUACCAACUUUAUUAAGAUACUUUUUGAAAACGGUAAGAUUACCAAAAAUGAAGAUCCUGGAAUUAUCAGGUCAGAAGAGUAUGAACAGGUUGACAUUCUGAAUCUUAAUUCAGAUCCCACUACUACGACCCCAGCUCGACCCGAAUAUUUUAACGAAGAAGAGUCAACGACACAACGUUUUGACGUCCCACGUGAUGUACCAGUGACAAGAAUGCUUGACUGGGAGUUAGGUAGCAACGAUACAUCUAAAGAAACCACGAGGUCGCUUGAAGUCUUUGAUCUUCAAUAUCAAAUAGAUAUUAAACCUAUUUCUAUGCGCAAAACUGAUAGAAUGGGUCAUAAUAAAUCGAUUAUUAUCUUGUCUAAUAGCGGAACUACUCAGCGCAUUAAUAUAAAAAAUACAAAUAAAUUAAAUGUUAAACUCACAAAAGCAAUCAAAGACUUAAUCGAACAUAUUAAUGACAUUCCAUUAAAAAACACUGAUACAGCCAAGAAAACAUAUUAUGCUAAGUAACAUCUACAAAGUGUAACACUAGGGUAAAUAUUGUAAAAUAUAUUGGUAUGUUUUAUUCA